AGAAGAGAAGAGAAGAGAAGAGAAGAGAAGAGAAGAGAAGAGAAGAGAAGAGAAGAGAAGAGAAGACUUGACACAUCAAAUUUCACAAAGUUGAAAGACAAGGAUGAAACUCUCUUGGAAGAAAAAGUCAAAAGAAAAGAAAAAUAAGCCCUCCUCUGAUGAUGAUGUGUAUGUGAAUCCUGAAGAUCUCCCCUCCAGCCAGCCUCCUCCACCCCCUCAACCUGACCCACUGUUCGCCAGCAGCUGGAGGGAGCUGGAGUGGAG
Engraulis encrasicolus (European anchovy) is the source of this 264-nucleotide long non-coding RNA. RefSeq lists it as uncharacterized. NCBI's taxonomy places the organism in Eukaryota, Metazoa, Chordata, Actinopteri, Clupeiformes, Engraulidae. The record is from RefSeq and is a predicted model, not a curated record. The transcript has 4 exons.